Molecule: long non-coding RNA, 541 nt
Organism: Manacus vitellinus (golden-collared manakin)
Lineage: Eukaryota; Metazoa; Chordata; Aves; Passeriformes; Pipridae
Exons: 3
Source: RefSeq, a predicted model, not a curated record
AAACACUUUCAUGGUUACAAUAAUACUGAAGUCUUAAAUGAAGACAAUAAAUAGCUUCCUGCUUAAAAUGAAACUGGUGGGCACUGUGACUGGGCAGAGCAGCAGGACUGGGGACAGCAGCCUUUGUGAACCUUGAUAGAAACAGUUUUAAUCUGGGGGGAGACCCUUUGCAGGGAUGAACUCCAGCUCCUCCUCAACCUAAGCCAUGAUAGGGUCUGAAUGCAACAGCUACAGCCUGCAGUUCUGCUGAGAAGGGCUGACUGAUGAAGGGGUGAACCAGGUGCUGCUGAAGACCAGCUCUGCAGAACUUACAUAUCUCUCUUGCCAUCAAGAUUGCCUGUGGGCAAGAGACUCUGUCUUGCCUGUCCUUGGCAAUGCUUCACACACAUCAGGAAUACACCUGCACUGCCAAGACACGCAGCCAUGGCCACAGUACAACCCAGAACUGGACACAGGGUGGAGAAUGCCCAUGGUAUAAAGCAGUGCUCUCCUUGACUGGUACGCAUGUUGCCAGUUGAAUCCGGAGAGAAUCUGCUGUGCU